This 443-nucleotide ribosomal RNA is filed under the name uncultured bacterium. Its description in RNAcentral is "partial 16S ribosomal RNA". It matches the Rfam family "Bacterial small subunit ribosomal RNA", at positions 338 to 795 of the family's 1533-position model. The record is from RNAcentral.
CCUACGGGUGGCAGCAGUGGGGACUAUUGGGCAAUGGGCGCAAGCCUGACCCAGCAACGCCGCGUGAAGGAAGAAGGCUCUCGGGUUGUAAACUUCUUUUCUCAGGGACGCAGAAAGUGACGGUACCUGCGGAAUAAGCCACGGCUAACUACGUGCCAGCAGCCGCGGUAAUACGUAGGUGGCAAGCGUUAUCCGGAUUUACUGGGUGUAAAGGGCGGGUAGGCGGGGAAGCAAGUCAGAGGGGAAAUCCACGGGCUCAACCUGUGGCCUGCAUUUGAAACUGUUUGUCUUGAGUACUGGAGAGGCAGACGGAAUUCGUAGUGUAGCGGUGAAAUGCGUAGAUAUUAGGAGGAACUCCAGUGGCGAAGGCAGUCUGCUGGACAGCAACUGACGCUGAGGCGCGAAAGCGUGGGGAGCAAACAGGAUUAGAUACCCCUGUAGUC